RNAcentral lists this ribosomal RNA (431 nucleotides) under uncultured bacterium. RNAcentral's name for it is "partial 16S ribosomal RNA". It matches the Rfam family "Bacterial small subunit ribosomal RNA", at positions 338 to 795 of the family's 1533-position model. The record is from RNAcentral.
CCUACGGGAGGCAGCAGUGGGGAAUAUUGGACAAUGGGCGCAAGCCUGAUCCAGCCAUGCCGCGUGGGUGAUGAAGGCCCUAGGGUUGUAAAGCCCUUUCGGCGGGGAAGCGGUACCCGCAGAAGAAGCCCCGGCUAACUUCGUGCCAGCAGCCGCGGUAAUACGAAGGGGGCUAGCGUUGCUCGGAAUCACUGGGCGUAAAGCGCACGUAGGCGGAUUGCUAAGUCAGGGGUGAAAUCCUGGAGCUCAACUCCAGAACUGCCUUUGAUACUGGCGACCUUGAGUCCGGGAGAGGUGAGUGGAACUGCGAGUGUAGAGGUGAAAUUCGUAGAUAUUCGCAAGAACACCAGUGGCGAAGGCGGCUCACUGGCCCGGACUGACGCUGAGGUGCGAAAGCGUGGGGAGCAAACAGGAUUAAUACCCUUGUAGUC